Molecule: long non-coding RNA, 812 nt
Organism: Leptopilina heterotoma
Lineage: Eukaryota; Metazoa; Arthropoda; Insecta; Hymenoptera; Figitidae
Exons: 4
Source: RefSeq, a predicted model, not a curated record
GGCGCUCAGCUUUCAUUAGAUUAAAAUGUUAUUCGAUAACAAUUUUUUGAUAAAAAUUAUUUUUUGUUUUGAUAAAAAUUAUUGAGAAUAGCAUGAGUCGAGCUAGGAAUUUUUAACAAAUUGUUUAAAAUUUUUAUUUUAUUAGACAGAACGAUAGCAAAAUAUGUAAGCGGUUUUUUGAAAGUUAAAAUGAUUUGAAGUGAUUUCUCAAGUGAUAUUUAGACGAUAACAAGAGGAAAUACAAAAUUUAAAAGGAAAAAUUGUUUUUUAACUCGUUUGGUGAGAAGACAGAAGUGGAACGAAACUCAAGAUAUCAGAACUGUUGAUAAAUCUUCGAAAUCUGAUUUAUUGUUUAGCUUUUAUUGUAUUAGGAUUUUUUUCGUCGAGUGUUACAAAUAUUUGUUAAAUUUAGAAUAAUUUUUUUUUUGUAAAAUGAUCGAAUGAAUUUUCUACUGUAAAUUAUUUAGCUAGGGAUUUUAAAACCAAAAAAAUGCAUUUAUAUUAACUAGGAACUUAGCAAGUAUAAGUAAAUAGUUUUAAGCAAAAAGAAUUCAUUUUACAAGAGGAUUUAUUCAAAUUCAAGAGGAUUCACCACUCGACGUCAAAUCUAUUCCAACUUUCUUCACCGAACUUAAGGGUGACGUUAUCUCUUUGGUGAUGGAUUUUUCUACAAUUAUCUGAAGAGAAAUUUUUCUUCUACACUGGAGACCUUUGGGACUGUAGCGGAACAACGUAUGUGACAGCACCUCCACUAUGGUUUUGUUUUGGGCGCGUGACAGUCUGGGUGUAGGAUGGAAUAAAGGAUAAUAAAA